Molecule: transfer RNA, 73 nt
Filed under: Tursiops truncatus (common bottlenose dolphin)
Lineage: Eukaryota; Metazoa; Chordata; Mammalia; Artiodactyla; Delphinidae
Description: tRNA-Arg (CCG) (tRNA-Arg-CCG-6-1)
Rfam family: tRNA
About the family: Transfer RNA (tRNA) molecules are approximately 80 nucleotides in length. Their secondary structure includes four short double-helical elements and three loops (D, anti-codon, and T loops).
Source: Rfam by way of RNAcentral
UCCUUGACGGUCCAGUGGUUAAGACUCUGCGCUCCGAGUGCAGGGGGCCCAGGUUCGAUCCCUGGUCUGGGAA